CUAUGGGUGGCAGCAGUGAGGAAUAUUGCACAAUGGGGGGAACCCUGAUGCAGCAACGCCGCGUGGAGGAUGACGCAUUUCGGUGUGUAAACUCCUUUUAUAUGUCAAGAAAAUGACGGUGGCAUAUGAAUAAGCACCGGCUAACUCCGUGCCAGCAGCCGCGGUAAUACGGAGGGAGCAAGCGUUACUCGGAAUCACUGGGCGUAAAGGACGCGUAGGCGGGUUGGAAAGUCAGGUGUGAAAUCCUACAGCUUAACUGUAGAACUGCACUUGAAACUUCUAAUCUAGAGUAUGGGAGGGGGAGAUGGAAUUAGUGGUGUAGGGGUAAAAUCCGUAGAUAUCACUAGGAAUACCUAAAGCGAAGGCGAUCUCCUGGAACAUUACUGACGCUAAGGCGUGAAAGCGUGGGGAGCAAACAGGAUUAGAUACCCCCGUAGUC
RNAcentral lists this ribosomal RNA (439 nucleotides) under uncultured bacterium. RNAcentral describes it as "partial 16S ribosomal RNA". It matches the Rfam family "Bacterial small subunit ribosomal RNA", at positions 339 to 795 of the family's 1533-position model. The record is from RNAcentral.